This is a regulatory RNA element of 65 nucleotides. It matches the Rfam family "Fluoride riboswitch aptamer (crcB RNA motif)". The record is from Rfam.
UGUGUUACAGGAGAUGGCAUUCCUCCUUAUAACCGCCCAAACCGGCUGAUGAUGCCUACCAAACU